CAGCAGCCGCGGUAAUACGUAGGGGGCGAGCGUUGUCCGGAUUUACUGGGCGUAAAGGGUGAGUAGGCGGUUAUAUAUGUCAGAUGUAAAAGGCUAUGGCUUAACCAUAGUUGGCAUUUGAAACUGUAUGACUUGAGUGCAGGAGAGGUAAGUGGAAUUCCUAGUGUAGCGGUGAAAUGCGUAGAUAUUAGGAGGAACACCAGUGGCGAAGGCGACUUACUGGACUGUAACUGACGCUGAGUCACGAAAGCGUGGGUAGCAAACAGGAUUAGAUACCCUGGUAGUCCACGCUGUAAACGAUGAGUGCUAGGUGUUGGGUAGCGAUACUCAGUGCCGCAGUAAACACAAUAAGCACUCCGCCUGGGGAGUACGUACGCAAGUAUGAAACUCAAAGGAAUUGAC
Molecule: ribosomal RNA, 402 nt
Filed under: uncultured Sedimentibacter sp.
Lineage: Bacteria; Bacillati; Bacillota; Tissierellia
Description: bacterial SSU rRNA
Rfam family: Bacterial small subunit ribosomal RNA
Source: RNAcentral